CAGAAAGAGAAUUCACAUGUCACAUUUAAUUUAAACCCUCCUGUCCAACACAAUCAGGAUGCCCCAUCUCAAGAAUUUUUUCUGACACUGACGACCAUGCACGGAUGACAAAGCCAGCAUUCAAAUCCAAAUUCCAGAGUGCAAUGAGUAUAACAUGUCGCAUAAAGAAACUGAAAGCAACUUUUAAGGUAACAAAAGUAUGUAUUUUGAAAUCUAAGAACUAUGCUAUAAAAUGAAGAUAUAAAAUAAGUAAAGAACAUCAAAAUAACCAAUUUCCAUAUUGCUUUUUCAAAUAGAAAAUAGAGCAACAAUAUCAAACCUAUUGUUUCAGCUAAUAGUGUAACCAAGGCCUACACCAGAACCAUUUUAUUAAUAAUUAAUAGUUCCAAAACAAUGAAGGAGCACAAAAAUCUCCGUGCCCAAACUAGGAGCACAAAAAUCUCUGUGCCUGAACUAUGUCAAGAGAUUGAACCAAUACUCACCUUCUUUCUCUCAAUCGUUUCAGGGACAUCACCACUUGCUAUACGUUGAGCAAGACCUUCUGCAAUUGCUGUUUUCCCAACCCCUGGUUCUCCAAUAAGACAGGGAUUGUUUUUAGUUCGCCGACCCAAGAUUUGGAUGACUCGCUCUAUUUGUGGCUGUCUUCCAACAACAGGAUCCAGUUUACCCUCCUCUGCUAGCUUGGUCAGAUUAGUUCCAUACUCUUCAAGCGUAGGCAUCUUAUUGCUGCCACCUCCUGGUCCAACAGGAGCAGGAAUAUUUUCUGUGCUUUCACCAACCAUGCGAAUGACCUGUGUGCGUAUGUUGCUUGGGUCAGCACCUAAAUUCUCAAGAACACGGGCUGCUACUCCUUCACCUUCACGAAGCAGUCCAAGAAGCAAGUGCUCAGAUCCAAUAUAGUUGUGACCAAGCUGGCGGGCUUCCUCCAGUGAGAGUUCUAACACACGCUUUGCACGAGGAGUAAAUGGAAUUUCCACUGCAACAAAUCCGCUGCCCCUCCCUAUAAUCUUCUCCACUUCUACACGUGCAUCCUUAAGAUUGAUUCCCAUAGAUUUAAGCACCUUUGCAGCAAUACCAGUUCCUUCACCAAUAAGACCCAGCAGGAUUUGCUCUGUGCCAACAAAGUUGUGACCAAGCCGUCUUGCUUCCUCCUGGGCAAGCAUAAUCACUUUAAUUGCUUUUUCUGUGAAGCGCUCAAACAUAGCCCUAGGUAAAAAUCGCUUAGCCUUCUGUUGCCUGCAUGACAUUGUGAUUGCAACCCUGGAAUGGAAAUCAUGUCCGGAAUUUAGCAAUGUGUCUAAACAGUUUGAACUUCGCAGGCCUGAGAAUCCUCUCAAUAUCAAUGUUGGUGACCGUGAACUGCACAUCAUUUUGGUGGUCAUCCUUGUUGAUGUUUCAAAUUCUUGAGAUUGGCCAUGCUUUAUACCAGAAGCUAUAGCAGGAAUAUUAGUUGAAUGAACCAGAAGCCUUGCCAUGUGAUAUCCCACAAAAACAGUCUGCAUUGCAUUAUUUUGCAUCUUAGGGGAAAAAGUUACAUUAUAUAAAGAGAGAAAGAAAAACCUGGGACUUUGGAAGCACAUACACAAACAAUAUAUAAAUCAUGAUUAAAGGAAAAAUAGUUCAAGAUGCAACUUUUGAUCAAAUGACCAAGAUCAAUUAAACAGUCAUGCCCCCACAAAGGGAGCUAUUAGAAAGUAGAAAGCACAAGUAGCCUUAAAAGGCAUUAAUAUCAAUCAAACAGAAUAACUAUCAAUGCAUAAACUGAAGCUUCUUCAUCACUUAACACCUAAGAGGUUUACAUCCUUUCAUUUCACUUCAAAAGAAAAACUCAGAUAUGAUUAUGACCUAAAUACAUUACUAUUAGCUUUUAAAACUAUAAAUUCACUCUUAAAAAGCAACUAACAUCAAAUCAAGCACGCAAACAUUUCAGUAAAAAGAAAAAGGUACAAGUGCCACUUGCCUUUUCAGAAGACAAAAACCAACAAAAUGAAACACAAUAAUCCACCAAUCUAUAUCCAGGUGAUGAAAUCUAGUAAAAACAAACACUACGAGUUCCACACACAAAGAGAGAACUGAAAUAUAAUAAGGAUAUUAUCGGAGAUUAAUUAAUUAAAAAUUAAAAAGGGAAAAAAAACUAAUUUGAAGUAUUGAAAAAAAACACAUAUCUAAAUCAACAGCAGGUCAAAAACCCUAAGCAGAAAUGCGAGAAAUAAAGAAAUUAAACAAGCUUACCUAAAAUUACAAAGACAAAAAAGGAAGCACAGAAGAACAAUCAAGAAGAAGAGAAGUGAAAAUAAAAAUCCAAAUAGAGAGCGAGAGACCUGAAGGGGUCUUUCCUUUUUCUUCUUUUCCUGCGGAGAAGAAAGACGCUCUUUUAUGGUCAGCCGAGAAGGAAGGAUAGAUAUUAGAUAUACAGAUGUGGCUUAUAAUAUUAGACGGUGUUUUGUUACCCUCUCCUAUCUCGCUCUCUCUAGAUUUUUU
This 2481-nucleotide unclassified non-coding RNA is filed under the name Hevea brasiliensis (rubber tree). The record is from RNAcentral. Lineage: Eukaryota; Viridiplantae; Streptophyta; Magnoliopsida; Malpighiales; Euphorbiaceae.